UUUAAAGCCAUAUUGACUCAAAGUAGA
Molecule: non-coding RNA, 27 nt
Filed under: Rattus norvegicus (Norway rat)
Lineage: Eukaryota; Metazoa; Chordata; Mammalia; Rodentia; Muridae
Source: RNAcentral